Molecule: ribosomal RNA, 208 nt
Filed under: uncultured bacterium
Lineage: Bacteria
Description: partial 16S ribosomal RNA
Rfam family: Bacterial small subunit ribosomal RNA
Source: RNAcentral
UGUGUAGGCGGUUUCGUAAGUUCGGUGUGAAAUCUCCCGGCUCAACUGGGAGGGUGCGCCGAAAACUGCGGAGCUUGAGCGCGGGAGAGGGAAGCGGAAUUCCUGGUGUAGCGGUGAAAUGCGUAGAUAUCAGGAGGAACACCGGUGGUGCAGACGGCUUCCUAGACCGUUGCUGACGCUGAGACACGAAAGCGUGGGGAGCAAACAG